Molecule: small nucleolar RNA, 132 nt
Organism: Carya illinoinensis
Lineage: Eukaryota; Viridiplantae; Streptophyta; Magnoliopsida; Fagales; Juglandaceae
Product: small nucleolar RNA snoR111
Exons: 1
Source: RefSeq, a predicted model, not a curated record
UUUAUGUUUGAGCUCAGGAUGCUCGGAUGGCUUGACUACAUUGAAACUAUAUUAUAGCAAAAAGUCAAUGGCUGAGAAAUCGUUUCAGUCGUCAUCUUUUUUACUAGCGAUUUGAUUGUUGUUUAUCCACAU